Ricinus communis (castor bean) is the source of this 2359-nucleotide RNA transcript. It is a transcript of the gene named mitochondrial amidoxime-reducing component 1, with no coding region annotated. The transcript has 10 exons. NCBI's taxonomy places the organism in Eukaryota, Viridiplantae, Streptophyta, Magnoliopsida, Malpighiales, Euphorbiaceae. The record is from RefSeq and is a predicted model, not a curated record.
AUUUUUCUUCCUCUAAAACUGGCAAGUAAUCACGCCCAGAAAAUGACACCAGAGCCAGAAGGGACCCAACUCCUGAAUAUAAAGAAACGUUACAGAAUUCAUCUUCUAAGUCUCCACACAAGAACUCCAUAGCUCAUCAGUUAAUAGCAGAGUCUGUUCUGUCAUUUCAACAACCCAGCAGAAGAAACAGAGAAGAUGGAGCCAGCUGCAAAAGUAGCAUCAAUCUUCAUAUACCCAAUUAAGUCAUGUCGGGGCAUCUCUGUUUCACAAGCAUCACUGGCUCCUACAGGAUUUCGAUGGGAUCGUAACUGGUUAGUGGUGAACUCCAAAGGGAGGGCAUAUACCCAAAGAGUUGAACCGAAGCUUGCUCUGGUCGAGGUGGAGCUGCCACAUGAAGCAUGUUUGGAUGGUUGGGAACCUACUGCAAACUCUUUUAUGGAAAUAAAGGCUCCUAGGAUGGGCGUGCUUAAGAUACCACUGGCAAAAGCACAUGAAGUAGCGGAUAAUAUUUCAGUAUGGGAAUGGUCUGGCUCGGCAUUGGAUGAGGGAGCUGAAGCAGCAAGAUGGUUUUCAGAUUUUCUUGGGAAACCCAGUCGGCUAGUGCGUUUUAAUGCAGCAUCAGAAACUAGGGCUGUGGAUCCUAAUUACGCCCGCGGACACAGAGUUAUGUUUUCUGAUGGCUAUCCAUUCCUGCUACUAUCUCAGGGAUCAUUGGAUGCACUGAAUAAACUUCUCAAGGAGCCUGUUCCAGUUAACCGAUUUAGACCCAACAUCUUUAUUGAUGGCUGUGAACCAUUUUCUGAGGACUUGUGGACAGAAAUAAGGAUAAAUAAAUAUACAUUUGAAGGUGUCAAGCUAUGCUCCCGCUGUAAGGUACCUACAAUUGAUCAAGCUACUGGGGUGGCAAGCUCAGAACCAAAUGGAACUCUGAUGAAAAUUCGAUCCGACAACGUUCUGCGUCCGAGUAAGAAACAGCAAGGAAAGAUCUACUUCGGACAGAACUUGGUAUGGAAGGACAAUCUUAAUGAAGGAAAAGGGAACAUAGUUAAAUUGGGAGAUCCUGUCUUUGUUGUCAAGAAUGUCUCUUCUGCAGCUGAAGCCGCUGCCUGAACGUGAAACCUUGUUGCUCAGAAUAUUGUUUAAUCUCUGCAGAAUAUCUGCCAGUAUCCCCAGAAUUAUGGAGCAAUUUGAAAGAACAAAGAAAUAUUUAAGGACUAAACCGACAUAAGCCAAGACCAAAUAUAUUAAAAGGAGAAAAUGAGGGACCAAAAGGGGAUAUAGGACAAAAGAAAGAAGAAAAGAAAUAAAGGAAGAAGAAGAAGAGGGAAGAAGCUCGGGGGCUGCCAUCAAUGGUGGAAGAGGGAAGAAGAGGUCUGGGACGUGGUGGCGAUGGCUGGUGGAAGAGCAGACGACGGUGAGUACAGCAGCAAUGACGGCGUCAGUGAACGACGACGACAUGCGGUAGAAAAUGGCCAGAAAUGGCAGCAGCUGUUCGACGCCGUUCAUGGCAUUUCCGGCGACCAAUGGCGGCAGUUUUGGUCUUAAAAUGACCGGCGACUUAAGAGCUUUCUAAUGGGGGCAGCAGUAUCAGCAAUGGUGGCCGGAGAAGAGAGUUCUGACGAAGGAAAGGCAGCUGGAUUAUUGGACUUUUUCGGCCAUCUCCUACGAGAUAUAGCUGAUCGGAGUUCAUGGAUGAACUCCUCUAGUCACAAGCUUUCCGAUAACACUAAUUUUGCAGCGAUCGGACUCCGUUUGAAAAUCGACGGUCGAAACUGUCCGUAUGAUCAGGAAUUGGAUCGGAGAAUCAAGUGCUAGAAUCAUCGUCUUCUCGUUGUUUCGUGUCUGUAGACACACUCAGACCGUCGAUCGGACUCCGGCGGCUGAAGACGAGUCGACCGAUUUAUCAAACGUCUCGAUGAGACGGCAGUAGAAUAUGCCACAUGAUAGGUUGCAUCAGGACCCGUGCGCACCGGUAUAAAUCUAAGACAAGUAAUAAAAGAAUAUUUUAAGACUUUCCCUAGUCGAGUUGAACUCUUUAAGCUGUGAAGAGUUUGAUUGUCGGAUUAAAGGUAUCUGGUCGAGCGUUGCUCUUUAGGCGCCGGCUUUAUUGGAAAUUAAGUGACCAGACGGGAUUAAGGAUCCUGGUCGAGUUCUGCUCUCUGGGUGCCAGUCCUGUUGGAGUGAGAGAGCUGAAAGGCUAUUAGUGUUGGAGUUAGGGUUCUGCUAAAGUACUUGUUCCGUAACAUGUAACUUAUAUUUUAGUGAAUCAUGGCAUGACACGCGUUUUAAUAUGAUCUAAUAUUUUAUUUUGAUUAAAUAAAUAUUUUAUUGAGGUGAAAUUUUGAAUUAUAUGAUUUAA